RNAcentral lists this ribosomal RNA (335 nucleotides) under uncultured Methanomicrobiales archaeon. RNAcentral's name for it is "bacterial SSU rRNA". It matches the Rfam family "Archaeal small subunit ribosomal RNA", at positions 1008 to 1338 of the family's 1478-position model. The record is from RNAcentral. Lineage: Archaea; Methanobacteriati; Methanobacteriota; Methanomicrobia; Methanomicrobiales.
UUCGUACUGUGAAGCAUCCUGUUAAGUCAGGCAACGAGCGAGACCCACGCCAACAGUUGCCAGCUCGUCCUCCCGGGGAUGGUGGGGACGACUGUUGGGACCGCCUCUGCUAAAGAGGAGGAAGGAAUGGGCAACGGUAGGUCAGCAUGCCCCGAAUUAUCUGGGCUACACGCGGGCUACAAUGGGUGGGACAAUGGGUAUCGACACCGAAAGGUGAAGGCAAUCUCCUAAACCCAUCCGUAGUUCGGAUUGUGGGCUGCAACUCGCCCACAUGAAGCUGGAAUCUGUAGUAAUCGUGUCUCAAAAAUGGCACGGUGAAUAUGUCCCUGCUCCUU